AACUUUUCGGCUAACACACACGAGGAGCACGUAUAGAGUUUGACUUCCUUGUAAUCAUUUUUGUUUCCAGACAUCAAAUAAGUUUUUUUUUGUAUAGUAACAAAGAAAAAAAAAUAUUAAUCACAAGUCUUUGUGCAGCACUGCAGCCAAACACCACCAAAUUUACGUUGGCCGUUGAAGCACACACCAAACAGGAACUCCUGUAACAAUCCGACCACCAUAGCCAUCAAUAGCCGGAGGCUCCGAUCUUGGUCUCCACAGACCCGUCUCCGCCGCUUGCGACGAACAAGCUCCAUAAUCUUUCAUCGCCGUGGAAGAACGUUCUUUAUUGUGGAAACUUUUUAGUAUUGUAGUCUGACAUCAGAAAGUUUGGAUUUUAUAAAUUUUAGAGAUAAUGAAUUAUGCGAAAUAACAAAAAUUAUUUUUACACACAAUCUCUACCAUAGUAUAAAUAAAACCAUUAUGCAUAAAUCUUAUAAAUACAAUUCAUAUCAAACUAAUUUUUUUUCAUAAAACAAAUAUAAUUAACGAUUGUAAAAUCAUCCGUAAAGAUAUGGGUCCUGCUGCACCCCAAUCCCCAAUUAUGAGUGAUGCUUUUAUCCUCAGCGGCUCACAGCAGCUACUAACUUCACGUGGAGAUAACUUAACCGGCCACAUUACACAUUACAUCCGUGGAAGUCUUAUCUCUUCCCUAGCUACCAGUGGACAAGUCAUUUUUUGUUGUCUACUCUAUCAUCUCAGAAUAAUAACUUAUGUCAACUUUGUUUGGUAGCUGCAAUACUUUCUUUAUAAAGACUAAUGUACAUGACUAUAUGUCCAAGUGGUUUUGCAAAAAGCAAAUAAGAUACUAAUUAUCAAUUUGUAAAGCAUUCAUAAAAAAUGUUAUUCAUCGAUCCAUCCAAUUAAUUCUACAAAUACAUCCAAUUAAUUCUACAAAUAAUAUCAUAAACUAUGCCUGGCAAUGGAGAAAACAUUCUCAAAUACUUAAGAAAUUGUAACAUCUUUUUAAAAUUGUCACUAGUAGUAAAAUACUCGAAUUAAUUUAUAUACUAUCAGAGAGCCUUAUUUUCAAAACAUACUAUUUAUUUGAUUUUUUAAUGGGCAAUUCUCUCAAAUAGACAUUUUUAAGUUUUUGUCACCAAAAUAGCAUUAAAAAAAUAAAAUGACCGAAAUAGCACAUUUUUGUUUUGAAAAUUUUAAUUUUAAUUUUUUAUUUUUUAAAAUUCGAAACCAUAUCCUCAAACCCUAUACUAUAACUCUAAACCCUGAAUUUAGAUUAGUUAACCUUUGAGUAUAAAUGUAUAUUUACCUUUUAAUAAAAUUUAUUUUGGUCAUUUUCUUUCUUAACAUCUAUUUUUGAAAAAAAUAAGGCCACGUGUUUGAUCAAAAAAAAAAAAAAAAACUAAGGCCAUGUAAAAGGGAAUUUCUCUUUUUUAAUUACACACGCCACGAAUCACCGCGGGAAACGUUUUUAUUAUUAUUAUUUUUAGCAGCUGUUUUUAUUAUUAUUUAAAACUCUGCAAUUGUUUCUAACUUUUCGGCUAACACACACGAGGAGCACGUAUAGAGUUUGACUUCCUUGUAAUCAUUUUUGUUUCCAGACAUCAAAUAAGUUUUUUUUUGUAUAGUAACAAAGAAAAAAAAAUAUUAAUCACAAGUCUUUGUGCAGCACUGCAGCCAAACACCACCAAAUUUACGUUGGCCGUUGAAGCACACACCAAACAGGAACUCCUGUAACAAUCCGACCACCAUAGCCAUCAAUAGCCGGAGGCUCCGAUCUUGGUCUCCACAGACCCGUCUCCGCCGCUUGCGACGAACAAGCUCCAUAAUCUUUCAUCGCCGUGGAAGACGAUUUGAACUCAUCUGUGGAAUAAGGUUUAACCAUGAUUGAAACAUUCACGAUUCCACACUUAUCCCCAUAUUCAUCUCUUAACCUAUAGCUCAAGAAAUUCAAAUGACCUUCAGGUGAAUACCUUCCCAUGAAGUCUGACGUUGGGAUCUUAGCUUCUCCUAUCUUCUUCUCGCGUCCAGAACUUGUUCGAAACAACACCUCGAUGUAGAUGAACUGUUCAGUCCCGCUCAUGGGCAU
This 2089-nucleotide long non-coding RNA is filed under the name Brassica napus (rape). RNAcentral describes it as "long non-coding RNA (BNAP_LNC022035)". The record is from RNAcentral. Lineage: Eukaryota; Viridiplantae; Streptophyta; Magnoliopsida; Brassicales; Brassicaceae.